GAUGAACGCUGGCGGCGUGCCUAAUACAUGCAAGUCGAGCGAACAGACGAGGAACUUGCUCCUCUGACGUUAGCGGCGGACGGGUGAGUAACACGUGGAUAACCUACCUAUAAGACUGGGAUAACUUCGGGAAACCGGAGCUAAUACCGGAUAAUAUAUUGAACCGCAUGGUUCAAUAGUGAAAGACGGUUUUGCUGUUACUUAUAGAUGGACCUGCGCCGCAUUAGCUAGUUGGUAAGGUAACGGCUUACCAAGGCAACGAUGCGUAGCCGACCUGAGAGGGUGAUCGGCCACACUGGAACUGAGACACGGUCCAGACUCCUACGGGAGGCAGCAGUAGGGAAUCUUCCGCAAUGGGCGGAAGCCUGGCGGAGCAACGCCGCGUGAGGGAUGAAGGUCUUCGGAUAGUAGAACUCUGUUACUAUGGAAGAACAAAUGUGUAAGUAACUAUGCUCGUCUUGACGGUACCUAAACAGAAAGCCACGGCUAACUACGUG
This 497-nucleotide ribosomal RNA is filed under the name uncultured bacterium. RNAcentral's name for it is "partial 16S ribosomal RNA". It matches the Rfam family "Bacterial small subunit ribosomal RNA", at positions 28 to 507 of the family's 1533-position model. The record is from RNAcentral.